RNAcentral lists this ribosomal RNA (440 nucleotides) under uncultured bacterium. Its description in RNAcentral is "partial 16S ribosomal RNA". It matches the Rfam family "Bacterial small subunit ribosomal RNA", at positions 338 to 795 of the family's 1533-position model. The record is from RNAcentral.
CCUACGGGAGACAGCAGUGGGGGAUAUUGCACAAUGGGGGAAACCCUGAUGCAGCGACGCCGCGUGUGGGAAGACGGUCCUCUGGAUUGUAAACCACUGUCACCAGGGACGAAGAUGACGGUACCUGGGGAGGAAGCUCCGGCUAACUACGUGCCAGCAGCCGCGGUAAUACGUAGGGAGCGAGCGUUGUCCGGAAUUACGGGGUGUAAGGGGAGCGUAGGGGGGACUGCAAGUAGGGUGUCAAGUGUACGGGCCAACCCGGUAGCCGCACGCAAAACUGCAAUUCUUGAGUGAAGUAGAGGCAGGCGGAAUUCGUGGUGUAGCGGUGAAAUGCGUAGAUAUUAGGAGGAACACCAGUGGCGAAGGCAGCCUGCUAAGCUGUUACUGACACUGAGGCUCGAAAGUGUGGGGAUCAAACAGGAUUAGAUACCCGAGUAGUC